RNAcentral lists this ribosomal RNA (558 nucleotides) under uncultured bacterium. RNAcentral's name for it is "bacterial SSU rRNA". It matches the Rfam family "Bacterial small subunit ribosomal RNA", at positions 224 to 783 of the family's 1533-position model. The record is from RNAcentral.
GAUGAACCUGCGUCCUAUUAGCUUGUUGGUAGGGUAACGGCCUACCAAGGCGACGAUGGGUAGCUGGUCUGAGAGGAUGAUCAGCCACACUGGCACUGAGACACAGGCCAGACUCCUACGGGAGGCAGCAGUGAGGAAUAUUGGGCAAUGGACGAAAGUCUGACCCAGCAACGCCGCGUGGGCGAUGAAGAUCUGAGGAUCGUAAAGCCCUGUUGAGAGGGACGAAACCCCGACUUGUCGGGUUUGACGGUACCUUUAUAGAAAGCUCCGGCUAACUCCGUGCCAGCAGCCGCGGUAACACGGGGGGAGCAAGCGUUGUACGGAUUUAUUGGGCGUAAAGCGCGUGUAGGCGGGACAAUAAGUCAGAGGUGAAAUCUUUAGGCUUAACCUAAAAACUGCCUCUGAUACUGUUGUUCUUGAGUGCGGAAGAGGGAAGCGGAAUUCCAGGUGUAGCGGUGAAAUGCGUAGAUAUCUGGAAGAACACCAGUAGCGAAGGCGGCUUCCUGGUCCGCAACUGACGCUGAGACGCGAAAGCGUGGGGAGCAAACAGGAUUAGAU